AUAUAGAACGGAAAAUAUUGUGCGUCCAUUAUUUCCUUGUAAAACGAAAGGAACUUUUCGGACGACCUAAUAUAAAGCUAUAAUAAAGUUUGCGGUAAAAUUUUGUAUAACAUUUUCUCUUAUCCUCGUUUAAGAUAGAUUAUGCAAUUUGUGUAAAAAUAUUGAAAAUAUUCCGUAUGUACGUGGACUGAUACAAUUAUCUUCGUUCGCGUAAACGAAAACGACAGAGGAAGAUAAAGAUAAAGAUAAUAUAUUACAUGAAAUUCCGUAAAAGUUAAAUUAUAGCGAUAAUUGGAAUUUAUGUACACAUUUCUUUAGAUACCGAGAAACGAAUGGAGGCCGAAUUCGCAUUCGACAAAACAUGAAUCGCCAGCAAAUCAGCUUUGCAGUUGCGCUAAUCCGUUCCCUUAAUCACGCGACGAUUCAGCUGCAACGAACAAUCAGCGAUAUCAGCGCUGCGUCAUUAUCAUCAGCGAUAACACGCCGCUUUAUACAUCCACUCGAUGUUUUUAACUAACGCUCUUUUAGACCCAGCGAAUAGAACCUUCCGAAUCUAUGAAAACUACUAAAUCGCAGUAUAACGCCAUAAAAGUAUUGCAAAAUCAUCAUCAACGGAACAACUGGAUAUUUAAAAAUUCUACGUUUCUUUGUGAAUAUCUCGAGUCAUACGUCCCAGUCACGCCGAAUAAACUCCUCGAAUUAUCAAAGUAAAUCUUCGCAAACCUCUUCUCUGUUCUUCUCAUCAAAAAUAUUAAAUCGAAACGAAAACUAAACCACCAAAGAAUCAUCGUCUCAGAAGCUAAACGAUACUCAAGAAGUUUUCGACAUUCCCUACAAAUAUCCACGCCGAACUCGCAACUGCAAACUCGAUCCUUCCGAAUUCACCAAAGGCUCAAAAUCUGAACAAAAGUCGAAAGAAUUGAUAAAAAAAAUAGAUCCAAACUCCCAUUCACAUUAGGUGAACUUAAACCUAAUUCGAACUAACAAACAGUUUUCAUAAGUAAGUAAAUAGAUUAUUCGUCGGUGACAUUAUCAGUCGGACACGACAUUGCUAGACAAUGUGCGAUAGAGAGCUGAAAAUAUGAUCGUCGAAAUAAACGCGGGGCUGAUUGGUUGUUUCUGUUAGGUCCAACGCAAUCAUAAAGAUAAGCAUGCAUAUUAGCCAAAAAUGUGACGUAUACAAACAAAGCUAUAUAGAAAUGCAGUACUUUCAGUACCAUUGUGCUGUCCCGCUAAUUAUUUUUCCAGCUGUGUUAGUACAUAUAUCCACAGCUUUUUCACGGACAACGUAUGCCGAUUGGCUGUGGACAAUUGUCUGUCGGUAUGAACUAAGCUUCAGCGAACCCAGCAAAAGCUCGACUCGAUCUGCCGACCACAAUCUCUCGACUCUCCACAACCCAUAACAAUUACCGGGUAUGCGAUCCUGUUUCCACGGCGGCAGCGGGCGACGACGGCGUCUGCGUGGCGUCAGCUGGGCGUGCCAUCUUGCACGUCUGCGUCCGUCUGCCCAUGGUAUCAGGGUGCCACGCUAGCUAAGAAGCUACUUAACUCCCUCUAACGAACCAAGAGACAAGCCAACAAAACCCGAUAAGUAACAGGAGUUUCGCAGUUGGAUGAACACAGGCCGAACAUUCACGACCGAAGAAGCCAAACAAGGAACGUGAAACGACGAAGGAGGUGUUCUCUGUUCAGGAACAAGAAAGGAGGCGACGAACGAAGGGGUAAGCGGACAGAGAAUGAGUCGAGGGGAGUGAUGAUUUGGUGGAACCAAACCGGUGCUGCCAGUGCUGUCGCAACGAGGAGAGUGUCACGCUCUCUCUGCUGUGCGUGGAAGAAACGAGGAGAGGGUCGCGCUUCGAGCAAGGCGACAGGAACGCCAGGAAGUAACACGCUUGCUAUUGUGAGCAACCAGUACCACUUUGGCGGCUCUUUUUGCCUUGAUGCUGGGAUUAUUAGGAGAAACGCGAGUCUGUCUCGUUGUUCGGCAAUAGGAGGUGGCGUUGGAGAGUCUGGAUCGAAGCGAAGGUGGUGGAGGAUUGAAAGUAUACUGGGAAGACUGAAAAGGGAUUUUCUGAAAGGUUUUCGGCAAGUUUUACAAUUACAUUUCGAUUACUGUAAACGAACAGCAUACAGGAUAUUGUGAUUCAAAAUUACUACAGAUUAUCUCCUUUGGACCUUCAAAUAUCAAUAUUUCCAUAUAAAUCUCUCUCGUGAACUCACAUGAAAAUUAUGAUAUCGAAGAGGUUUUAUGAAAUUGCGCUGACCCAGUUUCCCUUGCUUUCCUUGUACACGAUUGGAUUGAACGGCGUCUCGUGGAUUGAUCCUAGUUUAAUGGGGACAGGUACUAUCGUCGCAAGAAUCUAUGCGUGGCAUUUGGGAAACGUGUGCCUCUGGACGCUUGGAACAGGUACCAUACCUGUAGUAUAGUUGCCAUACUUCUUUAACGAAAAGACAGUAAAGAUAGUCAAAAAACUUGUUAACCAAAAGCCAAUAACAUUUUACUUGGCUGACUUAUUUGAAUUGGUAAACUCAGUUUCGAUGGGAAAGUCAAAGUGGAAAAUCGUGGCUAGGCGAAACUAAAAACGUAGCCGGUUCCAUUGGAGACAGUGGCACGGUGUGUCAGUGACCCUGCGGUCGAGGCUGCUGCAGCAGGAAAACGCGAAACCGCCGCGCGGGUAGAUAUCGAUUUGUCUGUGUUCGCUAGGAAAAAAGUUGGCCGGCCUUCUGACGUUCGCCGCUGAUAUUGCCCGCAGUUCACGCUGACGUGCCAUUUACUCACUCGAACGACCUCCUCACGGCCGUUCGUUCUACCUCCUGCCGUUCCACCUCCUCAUCAGCGUUCCACUAUCGUUCGUUUUAUCGAGGAAGCUCAGGAUGAAAGAUAAUAUCGAGACUGAUUAAAUAUAGCAGAACGUUCCAGCAAGAUUUUCGUCCUUUUAAUGGGAAUACAGGAAUACGAGAAGAGAAAUAUUGGAAUCUUUCGACUUAAGACGGAACUUAACUCUUUGGCGUAUGCAUGAGUAUGAUCUUUGUUUGAGAGAACAACGCUUGGAUAGGAAAGGAAAAGGCGUAACUAUAAGACUGUCUUCUUUUCUUAAACGCGGACAAAAAUUGCCCAUUGUGCGAUAAUUACGCUGAUACAUUGGAGUAUGGCAAUGACGUAAUAAUUGUAAAUGCAAUUCUCAAGAGUCUCACCAUUUGUAAACACAAGAUCGAAAAAUAGUAAAGUCUCGUCUCCAUCGAAGUAAACCGAGCAACCUGUUUGUUGCCUUUUCUACGACAUUUCCAACAAGUUAGAAAAAUUUACCGAAUGUCCAGCUGGACGAAUUGUAAAGUACAAAUUAAAUAAAUAAAAAAAGGAUUUCCAACAAACAGCAGCUUAUAGAAACAUUUUGUCCACACUGAAACAACGUAAUCUGCAGCUGGAUUCGCACUGAAGCGACAAGUGAGGAAUUUUUUGUCGCUUUUUGUUGUUACGUGUUUCAGAACAUUUCCAACGAACAGUAACUUACAGAAAUAAUUUCUGUACACUGGUGCAAGUUUUCAAUAAACAUGGAACAGCAAGAAGUUGCUUGAUGUUGCUUCAAUGAAAACGAGGCUUAACACGUUUGCUACUAACGAUAUGUAUGUAUGUAUUUUUAAUGCUUCGAAAUUAGCGUAGAUUUAAUUUUAGUCACUUGGAUUCAAUCGAUUUGAAGUCAUCGCCAAUGAGAACAAGCGUAUGCUGAAACUUGGAAAGGUAUUUCAAGCCAAAUAGCAAGUUUACACCGAUAAAAUGAUUGUAAUUUUAACUUGCUUGAAUGUAAAUAACAAAACGACCAGAUAGUAGAUUGAAUUGUAGUAGAUUAAGUUAUCUGAAUGAAGCUUUAGUCCACGCAAUACAAAUUGGCAUUUAGUACUACAAAAAGUGUUGACCUUGAAGCAGAUUCUUUUUUUAUCAAGUUCUACAUUUCAUUUUUAAAGUAUCGAAUUUCUUUAGUCACAUGUCAGUACUAUCAAAUGACAUGAAAUUUAAUAAGCUUGGACCAAAUUAAUUAAUACCUGUGUAGAUGUUAUAACAAAUACAAUGAUGUGCCAAGACCUUUUCCA
Long non-coding RNA from Bombus terrestris (buff-tailed bumblebee), 4089 nucleotides. RefSeq lists it as uncharacterized. Lineage: Eukaryota; Metazoa; Arthropoda; Insecta; Hymenoptera; Apidae. The record is from RefSeq and is a predicted model, not a curated record. The transcript has 6 exons.